GAGGGUAUAGCUCAGUGGUAGAGCAUGUGCUUAGCAUGCACAAGGUUCUGGGUUCAAUCGCCAGUACCUUCA
Camelus ferus (Wild Bactrian camel) is the source of this 72-nucleotide transfer RNA. It matches the Rfam family "tRNA". From Rfam's summary of the family: Transfer RNA (tRNA) molecules are approximately 80 nucleotides in length. Their secondary structure includes four short double-helical elements and three loops (D, anti-codon, and T loops). The record is from Rfam. NCBI's taxonomy places the organism in Eukaryota, Metazoa, Chordata, Mammalia, Artiodactyla, Camelidae.